GACGAACGCUGGCGGCGUGCUUAACACAUGCAAGUCGAGCGGUAAGGCCCUUUCGGGGGUACGACGAGCGGCGAACGGGUGAGUAACACGUGGGUGACCUGCCCUCAGCUCUGGGAGUAAGCCUGGGAAACUGGGUCUAAUACUGGAUAUGACUCCACGGUGCAUGUCGUGGGGUGGAAAGCCUUGUGCGGCUGAGGAUGGGCCCGCGGCCUAUCAGCUUGUUGGUGGGGUGA
RNAcentral lists this ribosomal RNA (233 nucleotides) under uncultured bacterium. RNAcentral's name for it is "partial 16S ribosomal RNA". It matches the Rfam family "Bacterial small subunit ribosomal RNA", at positions 28 to 260 of the family's 1533-position model. The record is from RNAcentral.